This is a long non-coding RNA of Grus americana (Whooping crane), 600 nucleotides long. RefSeq lists it as uncharacterized. NCBI's taxonomy places the organism in Eukaryota, Metazoa, Chordata, Aves, Gruiformes, Gruidae. The transcript is spliced from 6 exons. The record is from RefSeq and is a predicted model, not a curated record.
CUGGCAAAAUGGGAUGUUUCAAUGGACACUCUUUAAGAUCAAUGAGAAAAAACAUGCCGCCCUGUUCAGACUCUAGCUUUGACAAAAGCAUGGAAAUAUUAAGUGAAAACGUCAAUCGAAGACACUUUACAAGGCAGUUGGCAAAGCCGAAAUCAGACCCAAAAAAAGAAGAAUAUAAAGAAGUCAACAGGACACUGAAGACUAGAGCUGAUGCAAAAGCUGCAGAACAAGUCCAUGAAGAAAAUGGGGAUUUGGAGGUCCGCCGAAGCUGCAGGCUUUGACAAAGCCAUUACACCACUACAAAUCAAUCUGUUUUAUUUGACAAACUUAUAACAAAUACUGCAGAAGCAGUCUUGCAAAAAAUGGAUGACAUGGAGAAGAUGCAUAGACGGCGAAUGAUGGAAGACCUUGGGGUGUUCCACGAUGAGAACCUCGAUAUGUAUGCACAAGGAAAGAAAGAAAUCCAAAGAGCUGACAAAGAAAUAGCUGAUAAUCAAGGUGGCAUUGUAGUAGUUUCAUCAGAAGAAAGUGAAGAGAAAGAUGAUGAUGACGGUGAAGACACUCGAAAGCGUUAUGACUUUCGACAGAGGAAAACUGUUG